Long non-coding RNA from Tachysurus fulvidraco (yellow catfish), 1208 nucleotides. RefSeq lists it as uncharacterized. The transcript is spliced from 2 exons. Lineage: Eukaryota; Metazoa; Chordata; Actinopteri; Siluriformes; Bagridae. The record is from RefSeq and is a predicted model, not a curated record.
CAGAAUAAAUAUUAUAACACAUAUAUAACACAAUGAAAAUAUCAUGAAAAAUAGGAUUUUGACUACCAAGUGAUCCAAUGAAGAACAUCUGGUAAACUGCUGAUAGGGUCAGGGAGCCCAAAGCUCACUGAUGUGCAUGGGAGCAAAGGCUAUGAUUUUCAAUCAUGUGGAUGAACAGGAGUAUGUGUUUCAGUUUGCUGGGAAACAUUGGGUCCUGGCUUUCAUGUAGAUGUUACUUAGACACAUACCACCUAUCAAAUAGUAACAGUAGGUAUGCAUUCAGGACUCAUUGGGAAAUGCAUUAGCAUUUAAACAUAGCAUUAAACAUGGUCCAUAGCACACAUUUCUCUAUGGGGACUUAGAAAUAGUGCAGAAUUUGAAUUUAAUAAAUUCAGACUCAGAGUUCAGACCCUACCGUACUGUAGUUCUUUGCAUCGUUCUAUGUAUUCCCUAUCUGACUGUUAUGAGAGCCAUGAGGGCUCCCUCUGCUGGCCUGCAGAGGAUUUGCUGCACUUUAGCAUCAGGACUCUGUUUCCCACAAUUCAUUGCACCACCAACUCAGCACACCUGUUUCCUGUUUGCAAUCACCUGGUCUAUUUAAACUCACUCAGAACUCUUGGAUGUCGCAAACUUUUGGAUCUACAGUAACCUGUUCACGUGCAUGACACUAUCAUUGUUUAUCUGUAUAUUUCUGAUUUGUUGUUCUGUGAUUGUAUGCAAAAGCAAUAUAAAAUAGUAAGUGUUAAAACCUUAUGAUACUAAAAGAAACUUUAUGAUUAAAACGUCGACCUGUAUGAUUCUCACCUUGCGCUGGCAGGCGACACGCUCAUAGGCUUUGAUGAGGCGGUUUUUGUUGUACAUCAUCAAUCCGUAGUGAUCUUUGCUCUUCGUGUUGUAGCCAAAUGUGAUUGUUAUUCCCUUUUUCUGAGACAAAGACUUAAGGACCAUGGCAUUAAAAAUAUUUGAACAUUUAAUAAGUAGCUCUUACUAGUGUAUCAUUAGCUGUUUUUUUACAUUCUGGUGCUCUAUUUGUAAAAAGGAUACAAGACCAGCAGGUUUGUAUUUGUCUGUGAAGACAUUUACUAGACUCUUUGUGACAAACUGACUUUCCACUUUCUGGCCUUGGAUAACAAUCUGCAUUCUUGGCUUCAGGUAUAGAAUACUACAGUAUGCCUGAAGUAAGAGAGAAAUAAACAGCUUUGACUAUA